Molecule: long non-coding RNA, 1511 nt
Organism: Nerophis ophidion (straightnose pipefish)
Lineage: Eukaryota; Metazoa; Chordata; Actinopteri; Syngnathiformes; Syngnathidae
Exons: 2
Source: RefSeq, a predicted model, not a curated record
CUGGGAACGCCUCGGGAUCCCCCGGGAAGAGCUAGACGAAGUGGCUGGGGAAAGGGAAGUCUGGGCUUCCCUGCUUAGGCUGCUGCCCCCGCGACCCGACCUCGGAUAAGCGGAAGAAGAUGGAUGGAUGGAUGGAACUUCACCUUUAUCGUUAGUUUUUUACGUCAAAAAUCUCUCUUUUCGGUCUACAUUCUGUGUCUGCUUCUAAGUACUCCAUGAUGGUGUGCUGCCGAACAUGCUCCCCUGCUUGUAAAACCAGAAAUGUCAUGAAGCGAUGACGACGCGCCGUCAUGCCCGUUAAAAAAGGGAGUCUGGGGGGGAAACCGGUACUUUUUAGAAGCAGUAUAGUACCGAAUAUGAUUGAUUCAUUCAUACUGCGGUACUAUACCAGUACCGGUAUACCGUACAACCCUACAAUAUACAACUUCAACCCUUUACUAAUACCCUCCUCCAUUCACAUCCCAUCUCACCCGGUUUAUAUAUAACCUAAUGUAAGUAAUCAAAUGUAUUUCUAAUGUAUAUUCUUGUUCUUAUGCUAUCUGAACUCACUAUGUUCUCUGCUGGCUGUACAUAUCUUACCAAGUAAGACCUACACUGUUUCAAUGUCCACAUUUCUCUGUUGAUGCAAUUGUUGAUGACUGAAGUACUGAUAUCAACCAAAGCUCCUCAUCCCACCCCCCGGAUUGUAAAUAAUGUAAUUAAUUCAAUGUAUAUACUAUGAUGAUUAACCUGUAUGAUGACUGUAUUAUGCUGAUAGUAUAUAUGUAGCCGAGCUAAAUUUAAUUUAAUUUUAUUUUUAAUUUUUGGUAAUUUAUUUCACAUAAUUUUAUUUCACAUCAUUUUCUGUUGUGAACUUCCCCAAAAGUGUCUGUCAUUGUAAAUAGGUUCCGCCCUAUUGUUUUCUAUUACAUACCUUUUUGUUUCCCUGGGGGGUGAUUUGGCGUUGCACCUGUGUGACCAGCUUCAGUGAGCACUGACUCCUGCAGCUGGUAAGUCAUGCUUAUGUCUCUCUCCUUUUUAUUUUUUUAUAAACUUUUUGCCUGUCACUUUUAAAGUAUUUUCAAAGUGAACACUGUUUUGUGGCAUGCUGUUAAGCAUCCGGGUUGAAUUCCCGAAUUUUCGUUUUAUUAAAGUGUUGUAAAAAACGGACUUAUUUGCUAAAUGAUGUGUGGAUUAGCUUAAUGCUAGCAGCAGUUGCUGCGGGGUUUCCUGGCCUCGUGAGUUUGUGCACGGGUUGGGGGUACUCUGCUGCGUCUGUGUGGACAUCUUGUGUGCUGCUGUGCCAUUAAUGUGUGUGUGUUUUUUUCCCUUUUCUUUAUUCUGUAGUGGAGAGAGAUACUGUGGACUGUAUGUGACGCCCUUUUCUUUUUGUCCCUAUGAAAAAGCAUAAGUUAGAGUUUCGGUGAGCACUGACUCCUGCAGCUGUGGAGAGAGAUACUGUGGCUGUAUGUGACGCCCUUUUCUUUUUGUCCCUAUGAAAAAGCUGGUGAAUAAAUCCUCCUCAACUCGAA